UGCCCCCAGCCCAUCAGUGUCCCCCAGGCCUGCAGCAGGCCCAUGUGGUACCAAUAACUCAGGAAUUGGAGCGACUAGCUGGCAGGACCACUUCAGAACACCCUCACAUCCACACAGCAUUCUGCUUCCUUCCAGGCUAAGCAAAUAUGCUGCAAGUUUGCAGAAUGAGAGAGAGAGUGCCUCGCCUAACAUCUGGCCACAACAUGUUCCUGGCAGGUAUGGGUCUGAGAGCUGCAUGCAUCAUUAGAGUCAUCAACAAGCAAAGACCAGGGCCCAGUUCUCCAGCGGGUGAAUGACCGACAGUCACCAAGGUUACAGGCCCGCAUGGUGGAGGGUUUGGGUCCGCUGCACUUGUACGCCGGCUG
This is a long non-coding RNA of Branchiostoma belcheri (Belcher's lancelet), 365 nucleotides long. RefSeq lists it as uncharacterized. The transcript is spliced from 3 exons. Lineage: Eukaryota; Metazoa; Chordata; Leptocardii; Amphioxiformes; Branchiostomatidae. The record is from RefSeq and is a predicted model, not a curated record.